GCAAACUGCGAAUACCGGAGAAUGUUAUCACGGGAGACACACGGCGGGUGCUAACGUCCGUCGUGAAGAGGGAAACAACCCAGACCGCCAGCUAAGGUCCCAAAGUCAUGGUUAAGUGGGAAACGAUGUGGGAAGGCCCAGACAGCCAGGAUGUUGGCUUAGAAGCAGCCAUCAUUUAAAGAAAGCGUAAUAGCUCACUGGUCGAGUCGGCCUGCGCGGAAGAUGUAACGGGGCUAAACCAUGCACCGAAGCUGCGGCAGCGACGCUUAUGCGUUGUUGGGUAGGGGAGCGUUCUGUAAGCCUG
This 304-nucleotide ribosomal RNA is filed under the name Salmonella enterica subsp. enterica. Its description in RNAcentral is "partial 23S ribosomal RNA". It matches the Rfam family "Bacterial large subunit ribosomal RNA", at positions 949 to 1251 of the family's 2925-position model. The record is from RNAcentral. Lineage: Bacteria; Pseudomonadati; Pseudomonadota; Gammaproteobacteria; Enterobacterales; Enterobacteriaceae. RNAcentral also lists the same sequence under 1 other name.